AGUGGGGGAUAACGUAGCGAAAGUUACGCUAAUACCGCAUAUGCCCUGAGGGGGAAAGGAGGGGAUCGUAAGACCUUUCGCUUUCGGAGUGGCCGAUAUCGGAUUAGCUAGUUGGUGAGGUGAAGGCUCACCAAGGCGACGAUCCGUAGCGGGUCUGAGAGGAUGAUCCGCCACACUGGGACUGAGACACGGCCCAGACUCCUACGGGAGGCAGCAGUGGGGAAUUUUGGACAAUGGGGGCAACCCUGAUCCAGCCAUGCCGCGUGAGUGAAGAAGGCCUUCGGGUUGUAAAGCUCUUUCGGACAGAAAGAAAUCCUAUCCGCUAAUACCGGGUGGGGAUGACGGUACUGUAAGAAGAAGCACCGGCUAACUACGUGCCAGCAGCCGCGGUAAUACGUAGGGUGCGAGCGUUAAUCGGAAUUACUGGGCGUAAAGCGUGCGCAGGCGGCUUUUUAAGCCAGAUGUGAAAUCCCCGGGCUUAACCUGGGAACUGCAUUUGGAACUGGAAGGCUAGAGUGUAGCAGAGGGGGGUAGAAUUCCA
RNAcentral lists this ribosomal RNA (541 nucleotides) under uncultured Gallionellaceae bacterium. RNAcentral's name for it is "bacterial SSU rRNA". It matches the Rfam family "Bacterial small subunit ribosomal RNA", at positions 135 to 671 of the family's 1533-position model. The record is from RNAcentral. Lineage: Bacteria; Pseudomonadati; Pseudomonadota; Betaproteobacteria; Nitrosomonadales; Gallionellaceae.